AAAAAAAAAAAAAAAAAAAAAAAAAAGCAGCUCGGUUCACUAAACCGCACAUAGCAGGAGUUUAGGAAAGGGUCACCUGUAAUUGUGGUCGAUUAAAAAAAAAAAGUGUAAUUAUCAAUUAUUUGGGGUUUGGGGCUUUAUCAUGUUCGUGGUUAAUUUAUUUUUUUUAACUUGCUUUUUAGCUUUUGAUUUGCUGAAUUGCGUCCUAACCUUCUUUUCCUUUAUUCUAGGUUUGGUGGUAGUUACUUAAGAAUGUAAUUUGGUCUAAAAUUGUGAUUAUUGUGUAUAUAAUUAGGAUUUAAGGAGUGACAAUGCAAUUUUGGUUUAAAGUUUGUUCUAUUUUUCUAUAGUUUGUACUUUGUUGAACAGCAGCAAGCAAAGAUGACUUGGUUAGGACCUUGGGACCAAGUUGCCAUGUUAGCUGAAUUCAAGAGGCGUUUGAGUUUGACAAAGUCAUCUCAAGUUAGCAGAGUACUAUAUAAAGAAUGACCAAGUUGACUGUACUUUUCUGCCUAGCCAAGCUGUUGUGUGGAUUAUGAUGUAGUCACUUUUUCGGUAUUAAUUAUAGCUUCAACUUUGUUGGAUUCUUAUCAUUAUUAUCUUAGUGGGACAAAAGUUUUCUCACCACUUAAGUUUGUUGUUCCGUGGACGUGAUUGAGCUUGUAAUCCAAAUCCUAUUAAAAAAGAUUAGGUAAAACCCCCUAGUGGUCAUUGAUUUGGAUGAUAGAUUUGUUUCCCAAGUUCUCAUCUAAAAGUCAAAAACAGAAUAUGCUAAAUUGCUAGGACCAUGAUACUUUGUGAUGUUUUUUUUUCCUUUAUUUGCUUAAGCAAGGUUCUGCCAAAUUGAUGAGCAGUUUUUACACUGUAGCUGCAAAAGAUUGUGGGCUGGGCACCCUAUAGAUGAAUUUUACCAAGUAGGUAUAUUAAAAAAUAAGAGUAUAUAGUUAUUAGUUUUAUAUACUAGCAAUUUACAUGACUAGGAAGAUGGACUCUCUCUUUUUUCUUUCUAAAAGAUUAUGAAUAUAUGCUACUACUAUGUAUGUUUGGCUUAUGGGUUGCAACUUUUUGGUGUACGAGGGGAAUAAGGUUAUGGAAUAGAGGGGCAAGACUUGGAGAAAGAAACAUCCUUAGGACUUAGGAGUUCAUUUGAUAUCCUCUGCUUGUUCUAUUUAGUGUUACCUUCUCAGAACGGUUCAAAUAAAAAAUCAGUAUUAAUGUUCAACAUAGUUUAAAAUUUUGGGCAUCUCACCAUUUUUGUCGUAUAAGUUCUCCAAUUAAAAGGAAAAUUGUCCAAGACUAAGUUGAUUUUAUGGAAGAUACAGGCCUCACUGAAAUGAAGUGUAGGAAGAUUCUUUACAUGGACUAAUUGUAACAUCCAUAGCAACUUAGAGAGCAUUGGAUGACCAAAUGGCCUCUUAUAUCUGAUCACUUUGAUCACAGCAUUAAAAUAGAGCAAGCAAACACAAUUUUAAGUUUUAACAGUGAGUGUUGUUUAACUAAAAGUUUCGUCUCCAUGGAAUAAUUGAACACACAAUAAAAAAGAUUUUUUAUGAACUUUGGAAAUAAUGUAAAUAUUCUUUAACUUAAUAUAGAAUCAAUUUUCAGAGACCAUAUUAUUUGAAAAAAGUAGUAUGAUAAUAUAGAUAUAAAAAAAAAGAUAUAAUUCUGAUUCAAAAUUUUCAAUGCAGUAACAAUCAAAGGUGCAAGGAUGAAGUUUUGGAAGUUUCAAGACGACAAGAUCUCAAGUAACAAAUUUUCAAGAUAGGUAAUAGACUGUAAUUAGCAAUUAAAAAGGC
Molecule: long non-coding RNA, 1796 nt
Filed under: Capsicum annuum
Lineage: Eukaryota; Viridiplantae; Streptophyta; Magnoliopsida; Solanales; Solanaceae
Description: long non-coding RNA (CANN_LNC004091)
Source: RNAcentral